AGGAGGAAAACCACAGUGGUGGCGGCCAGCUCUGGAGCCCUGGAUUCAGCUCCAGCAGGAACUCCGGGGCUCUCCACCUGCAGGGCCUGGAGGCUCCGGGGCGGG
RNAcentral lists this microRNA precursor (105 nucleotides) under Canis lupus familiaris (dog). RNAcentral describes it as "mir-8834 microRNA precursor family". It matches the Rfam family "mir-8834 microRNA precursor family". The record is from Rfam by way of RNAcentral. Lineage: Eukaryota; Metazoa; Chordata; Mammalia; Carnivora; Canidae.